This 1036-nucleotide long non-coding RNA is filed under the name Homo sapiens (human). RNAcentral's name for it is "HSALNT0341270". The record is from RNAcentral. Lineage: Eukaryota; Metazoa; Chordata; Mammalia; Primates; Hominidae.
AUUUGAAAAUAAUGUCUUCAAAGUAAAAUAUUGAGGGUGGCCACAAGGAGAAUAGAUUUAAGUUGACCUGAAUAUACAUUUCAAUUAACAACUGUUAAAAGUGGGUAUUUUUGAAAAAAACAACAAGGCAGUUUCUAAGUUGUUUACCAAUAAUUUACAUUGAAUUCAUAAGCUAUUGAUUGGCUACAUGUUUUUCUUUGUUUUACAAAUUCCCAGAAAGAGAAAUAAUGGGUGAGACAGCUAGUCCAAAAUGAAACUUUUUAAAGCAAUUGUCCCUGGGCACAGGUGUGGGGUGAGACUGAAGUCCCAUACUUUCAUUUCUGUGUGCUUGAUAAAUUUUGCAGCCCUCACAGACCUGAGACUGUUCUGAGAUAUUUUUCUUCUCUCACCUCCUUGUUCAGGACACAUGAACCAUUAACAAGAAAAAUAUUUAAAUAAGAAACUCACCAAGCCAGGAGAAUAAUGAAUACCUGGAUGUGCCCCCUAGGAAUCUGGAUCUCUUCUCUUUUCCCCACCCUGCCCUCAACUCCCCUUACAUACAUACAGCCUGGAUCACAAGACCCAAGAAAACCAUUCCACCAGCUGCUGAGAGAAGAGCCACAAAAGGACCCAGAACUUCUCCAUGGCUACCUUAGAGCACCCUAAAAUGUGCUAACAGCCAUUGUUAGCAUUCAGGAGCUGUUUAUUCCCAUUUUCACACUACACUAAAGAAUUUUAAACAAUCACAAGAUAGACUGGCUGGAAGUUGGUGCUUGGAACAUCCCACGUCACCUAAAAGCACAGUGCUGCAAUCUCAGAAACCCCAGGCUCAGCCAGCAGAGAGAGGAGAAGCAGCUGGACAUUGGAGACUAUGAUUGGACAUUAGAGAGAAGGAGCUUGACUUCACAGAGAAAGCAUGAUGGAAUAAUUUCAGAGAAAAGUCUGGCCAGGGAUGACCAGACUUCAGGGGAAGAUAAUCUUGCUCAAUAUCCUUUUCUGCUCCCCUUCCUGCUGAGAGUCACUUUGAUUGGCAAUAAAAUAUCUCACAUUUACCAUC